AGAGUGACCAAGCUAAGUGGUUUAAGGCGUAGCAUUGGAAUUGCUAUGUAGGCUUUUGUUUACCGAGGGUUCGAAUCCCUCUCUUUCUG
Molecule: transfer RNA, 89 nt
Filed under: Datura stramonium (jimsonweed)
Lineage: Eukaryota; Viridiplantae; Streptophyta; Magnoliopsida; Solanales; Solanaceae
Description: tRNA-Ser
Rfam family: tRNA (bases 11-81)
About the family: Transfer RNA (tRNA) molecules are approximately 80 nucleotides in length. Their secondary structure includes four short double-helical elements and three loops (D, anti-codon, and T loops).
Source: RNAcentral